Long non-coding RNA from Drosophila gunungcola (fruit fly), 306 nucleotides. RefSeq lists it as uncharacterized. The transcript has 3 exons. NCBI's taxonomy places the organism in Eukaryota, Metazoa, Arthropoda, Insecta, Diptera, Drosophilidae. The record is from RefSeq and is a predicted model, not a curated record.
GAGCAGAGGGUGGAGGCCGCUUGGGUCUACCAGGGGAUCGGUUCGGCAGACGGCCGGGGAGCGCCUCGGAGAACCGAGUAGUGGAGUCCCCAGAAGAUCGGGUGUCACUAAUGACGGUCGGUCUUGGGGUGUGGGAUCCCAAAGGUCAGAUAUCACUGAUGACGGCCGGUCUUUAGGGGGGGGGGGAAAAAAAGCUAACUACAAUGUAUUGGGUGGACGGGGUACUAGACCCUAUCCCGAAAAAGACUCCGCAGUUAACUCCCAGAGAAGUUUGCUCACUCCAAAGUGUAAGCCUUACCUUCUCCG